Long non-coding RNA from Diceros bicornis minor, 519 nucleotides. RefSeq lists it as uncharacterized. The record is from RefSeq and is a predicted model, not a curated record. The transcript has 3 exons. Lineage: Eukaryota; Metazoa; Chordata; Mammalia; Perissodactyla; Rhinocerotidae.
GGCGGGGAGACACCGAGCGGCGACACUGCCAAGCCUCUAACCUGCCUCUGUGCAAUGGGGACAACGCUUUCUGCCCCGUCACCCCGGGUGUGACACAGUGCUACGGAGCCUCUGAUCCGAUGGACCAACCCAAGAACAGAUGAAAUGGCCGCCAGGAGAACAAUGCCAGAAGUCCCGCCCCUGAGUGGCGCGUAAUACACGGAAACGUCCCUCUCCAGUUCUUCAUUGGCCCAGCGACACUGAUGCUCACGGUGGAGAGCCUUCUGGUUGUAUAGUGCCAUGAUGCGACUCAAGAUUGGACUUCACUUAUAGAACCCUGUCAUCCCUGCCCAGAGAACUAAUGGAUUUGAACCUUGCAAAUCCUUUGAACUCCUCUCUUAUUCAUGAAUUCGGGAAUGCUUUGGUGAAUUCAAUUCUCCAAACAGUGCUCUCGGCAUCAUCUCUGUUACAGCAUGGCACUGUUGUGGGUGCAAGAGGCACAUCAGUAACCGAAGAGACAUAGACCCCUGUCCUCAUGUG